CCUUGUACACACCGCCCGUCACGUCACGAAAGUUGGUAACACCCGAAGCCGACGGCCUAACCUGCUUGCAGGAGGGAGUUGUCGAAGGUGGGACUGGCGAUUGGGACG
RNAcentral lists this ribosomal RNA (108 nucleotides) under uncultured bacterium. Its description in RNAcentral is "partial 16S ribosomal RNA". It matches the Rfam family "Bacterial small subunit ribosomal RNA", at positions 1379 to 1482 of the family's 1533-position model. The record is from RNAcentral.